GAUCCUAGCUCAGGAUGAACGCUAGCUACAGGCUUAACACAUGCAAGUCGAGGGGCGGCAUGUUGGUUGCUUGCAACCGAUGAUGGCGACCGGCGCACGGGUGAGUAACGCGUAUCCAACCUACCCUUGUCCAUCGGAUAACCCGUCGAAAGGCGGCCUAACACGAUAUGCGGUUCACAGCAGGCAUCUAACGUGAACGAAAUGUGAAGGAGAAGGAUGGGGAUGCGU
Molecule: ribosomal RNA, 228 nt
Filed under: uncultured bacterium
Lineage: Bacteria
Description: partial 16S ribosomal RNA
Rfam family: Bacterial small subunit ribosomal RNA
Source: RNAcentral